This 538-nucleotide ribosomal RNA is filed under the name uncultured bacterium. Its description in RNAcentral is "bacterial SSU rRNA". It matches the Rfam family "Bacterial small subunit ribosomal RNA", at positions 8 to 525 of the family's 1533-position model. The record is from RNAcentral.
AGAGUUUGAUCMUGGCUCAGAUUGAACGCUGGCGGCGUGCUUAACACAUGCAAGUCGAACGAGAAAGGGACUUCGGUCCUGAGUAGAGUGGCGCACGGGUGAGUAACGCGUAGGUAAUCUACCUCUGCAUCUGGGAUAACACUUCGAAAGGGGUGCUAAUACCGGAUACACUUAUGGACCGCAAGGUCUAUAAGGAAAGGAGACCUCUCCUUGGAAGUUUCUGUGUAGAGAUGAGCCUGCGUCCCAUUAGCUAGUUGGCAGGGUAAAGGCCUACCAAGGCGACGAUCAGUAGCCGGCCUGAGAGGGUGAUCGGCCACACUGGAACUGAGACACGGUCCAGACUCCUACGGGAGGCAGCAGUGGGGAAUUUUGCGCAAUGGACGAGAGUCUGACGCAGCAACGCCGCGUGGGUGAUGAAGGUCUUCGGACUGUAAAACCCUGUCGUCAGGGACGAAGGUGCGCGUGUUAAURGCAUGCGUGCUUGACGGUACCUGGAGAGGAAGCCCCGGCUAACUCUGUGCCAGCMGCCGCGGUAAUA